AUUAUGAUCUAACGGAUUCCGUACAUGUAUUUGUAAAUUACAUUACCAAAUUGGGGAAUGUGAAAAUAAGAUAAUGUGUUUGGAUUUUUGUUAUUGUUGUACAUUGACGGCAGUGAUUCUUUGUGGGUUUGUUUUUGAUUAUUGUUGUACAUUGACGGCAGUGAUUCUUUUUGGGUUUGUUUUUGGUUUUUUGUUAUUGUUACAUUGACGGCAGUGAUUCUUUUUUGGUUUGUUGUUGUUGGUUGUUUGUUAUUGUUGUACAUUGACGGCAGUGAUUCUUUAUUGGUUUGUUGUUGUUGGGUUUUUGUUAUUGUUGUACAUUGACGCCAGUGAUUCUUUUUUGGGGGUGGGUGGGUUGGGUUGUUUUUUAUUAUUGUUGUACAUUGACGGCAGCGAUUCUUCUGACGUGUUGACACUGCUGAUUUUGCCAAGAUCCUGAUACGGGAACCCAACAUUUUUAUCAAAUAGAGAUUAAUGUUUAUAACUUGUGUCAAUCAGUAUCAAAAGACUCCUUAUUAAGUUUUGCCUGUAGGUUGUAGUAACCUUCUUUUAAAAUGUCCUACUUUCCGCUAAUAAACCUACAUGUAAUGCGCAUCCAUGAGCUCCGAAGCGGACCUUUACUUAUAGGUAGAAUUAAACGAUGUGCCCCAUUACAAAAGAGUCAUCAUUUUACUUUGAAUAUCAUAUCCUUCUGAUGAUCUAGAAUUAUACUAGUUCAUUUCCGGCUUUGAAAUUAUACUAGUUCAUUUCCGGCUUUGAAACAUCUCUGUUUCCCCUUCUGGAUGUCAAGGCAAGAUUACAGAAUUUUCUCAUUUUUAAAUCUAAUUCAAAUAGUUGGCUAAUGUAAUGUUUAGAUUUGGUGUCAAUGAAAUGAUUAAUUGAAUUGAAUAUCGAUAUCCUCUUGCCACUGGUUGUAGAAUUGAUAACUGUAUUAUACGGUAUUGUACGGAGAAACACUCCGCUAUCGACAGUGUAAAACAACGUAACAAUUCGAUGUCACAUCUACUGUACAAGUACUGAAUGCUUCAUCUGAUAAUAUAGGUACAGGUAGUUUCUUUUAAAUAUGAAUAUAAUUUCAUUUCUUUAUCCCAUUACGUUUAAUUAAAGUUAAAUGAUUUCAAACAAAUGGCAUCGCUUUCAUCUUCAUAACAAAAACGUACAUACACCACCAAUAAUAAACCUUUUUUAUGACUUUGAUAUCCUGACAAAAAUAAGAUUUUCUUUUUAUAUCAAUUUAUUUCAUAAUAAAUAAAUAAUAUGUACAUGCUUAAAACAAAUCAUAAUUUCUCACAACCACUCAGCAAAUAUUUGUCCACAUUAGCAUUCCACAAAACAGUAUCUCACUGAUGGCGGCAAAAUCACAGGAGACUCCGAAAUUAAAGCCCUUGGGUCAUGUGACGGAAGCACUGUGUCUUUCGGAACUUCGAUUCUAAAUUUUUGCACAAGACUUGUGGUAUAGAGAAACAUCCUGUUUCUAGCCAUCUGUUGCCCAACACAGUAUCGUUUUCCUACGCCAAAUCCUAUG
Long non-coding RNA from Ostrea edulis (European flat oyster), 1525 nucleotides. RefSeq lists it as uncharacterized. The transcript is spliced from 2 exons. The record is from RefSeq and is a predicted model, not a curated record. NCBI's taxonomy places the organism in Eukaryota, Metazoa, Mollusca, Bivalvia, Ostreida, Ostreidae.